This is a long non-coding RNA of Cydia fagiglandana, 134 nucleotides long. RefSeq lists it as uncharacterized. The transcript is spliced from 5 exons. Lineage: Eukaryota; Metazoa; Arthropoda; Insecta; Lepidoptera; Tortricidae. The record is from RefSeq and is a predicted model, not a curated record.
GUGUCUAGGAAAUGAGUGUAACACAUAUUGUAACGGUUCAAUGGCUGUCGCUUCGGCUCAGGGCUUUAACGCAGUUGCAUCGGUGGACGGCGAAUUGAGUACUGUUGAGUGUACUGGAGCGUUUUGUCAUUCUA